RNAcentral lists this ribosomal RNA (663 nucleotides) under uncultured bacterium. Its description in RNAcentral is "bacterial SSU rRNA". It matches the Rfam family "Bacterial small subunit ribosomal RNA", at positions 159 to 809 of the family's 1533-position model. The record is from RNAcentral.
GAUGCUAAUACCGGAUAACAACACUAGACGCAUGUCUAGAGUUUGAAAGAUGGUUCUGCUAUCACUCUUGGAUGGACCUGCGGUGCAUUAGCUAGUUGGUAAGGUAACGGCUUACCAAGGCAAUGAUGCAUAGCCGAGUUGAGAGACUGAUCGGCCACAUUGGGACUGAGACACGGCCCAAACUCCUACGGGAGGCAGCAGUAGGGAAUCUUCCACAAUGGACGAAAGUCUGAUGGAGCAACGCCGCGUGAGUGAAGAAGGGUUUCGGCUCGUAAAGCUCUGUUGGUAGUGAAGAAAGAUAGAGGUAGUAACUGGCCUUUAUUUGACGGUAAUUACUUAGAAAGUCACGGCUAACUACGUGCCAGCAGCCGCGGUAAUACGUAGGUGGCAAGCGUUGUCCGGAUUUAUUGGGCGUAAAGCGAGUGCAGGCGGUUCAAUAAGUCUGAUGUGAAAGCCUUCGGCUCAACCGGAGAAUUGCACCAGAAACUGUUGAACUUGAGUGCAGAAGAGGAGAGUGGAACUCCAUGUGUAGCGGUGGAAUGCGUAGAUAUAUGGAAGAACACCAGUGGCGAAGGCGGCUCUCUGGUCUGCAACUGACGCUGAGGCUCGAAAGCAUGGGUAGCGAACAGGAUUAGAUACCCUGGUAGUCCAUGCCGUAAACGA